Long non-coding RNA from Numida meleagris (helmeted guineafowl), 876 nucleotides. RefSeq lists it as uncharacterized. The transcript has 2 exons. NCBI's taxonomy places the organism in Eukaryota, Metazoa, Chordata, Aves, Galliformes, Numididae. The record is from RefSeq and is a predicted model, not a curated record.
GCGGGGCGAGCGGGGCUGCGGGGCGAGCGGGGCUGCGGGGCGAGCGGGGCUGCGGGGCCAUGGCGUGCCCGGCGGGACGGGAGCUGCCCGCAGCGCGGGGCGGACGGGCCUGGCGGAGUGGUAACGGAGGAGCAGCAGCAAAACAUACAUCUGUAUUGACUGAGAGGAACAGAGGUCUGCCUGCAGCAUCCCACUUCAUAAGCGAUGAGAAGGUCCAGUAGGCUGUGGCACAAGUGGAAGACUGAGGACCAGCAGAGCCUAUAGGCCAACUACUGGAAACCAGGGACUGUCCAUGGCAUGAUCUUAUUCCAAAUUUACUUAGGACAGCUGUCCUUUACACUUGAUAACAUUCUGGCACCCCAAAGAGCCAAGUACUCUUAUCAGACCUGAAUGGAGGAAGUGGAAACCAAGUUUGAAGGAUAAGUAUUGCAUUAUUAUAUUGAAUAAGCUAUAGGUUAGCAAUUAUUACAUAUUGAAUGGGAUCUAAAUUACUUAAUGCCCAUGCAAUCUGUUUUCUUCUCCUUUUAGUUACUCUGUUCCUUAGUUUAUUUUUAUAUACUCUCUGUUUUCAAGUGGGUUAUAUGUAUUCUGUAAAAAGAUUGCCGAUGACCAGAAGCUCAACCUCAUGUGGUAGCUGGGGAUGUACCAGACUCCUUGCAGAGAGAGUGAGAAAAGGGGGGCUGCUCGGAAGGGUUGGGGUACCUCAUCAGGAACCAAGUAUUAUAGCAUCUGUGAAGGGUUAAUGACAGAGUUGGAAAUAAUCCUUGAAGACAAAAGCUAUUUGUAAAAAUAUUUUCUGCAAAUAUUAUUGCAUUACUUGGAUGUUUUUCAGUUGAUCAUUUAUUACUUUUUUAAAAAUAAAAUUUCUGCUUUAUU